GGCGGCGUGGCCGAGUGGUUUAGGCAGGGGCCUGCAAAGCCCUUUACCCGGGUUCGAUUCCCGGCGCCGCCUCCA
This 75-nucleotide transfer RNA is filed under the name Acidimicrobiales bacterium. RNAcentral's name for it is "tRNA-Cys". It matches the Rfam family "tRNA". Rfam says of the family: Transfer RNA (tRNA) molecules are approximately 80 nucleotides in length. Their secondary structure includes four short double-helical elements and three loops (D, anti-codon, and T loops). Further hydrogen bonds mediate the characteristic L-shaped molecular structure. tRNAs have two regions of fundamental functional importance: the anti-codon, which is responsible for specific mRNA codon recognition, and the 3' end, to which the tRNAs corresponding amino acid is attached (by aminoacyl-tRNA synthetases). tRNAs cope with the degeneracy of the genetic code in two manners: having more than one tRNA (with a specific anti-codon) for a particular amino acid; and 'wobble' base-pairing, i.e. permitting non-standard base-pairing at the 3rd anti-codon position. The record is from RNAcentral. Lineage: Bacteria; Bacillati; Actinomycetota; Acidimicrobiia; Acidimicrobiales. RNAcentral also lists the same sequence under 2 other names.